CCUACGGGUGGCUGCAGUGGGGAAUAUUGGACAAUGGGCGAAAGCCUGAUCCAGCCAUGCCGCGUGUGUGAAGAAGGCCUUCGGGUUGUAAAGCACUUUCAGUGGGGAAGAAAGCCUUGGGGCUAAUACCCUCGAGGAAGGACAUCACCCACAGAAGAAGCACCGGCUAACUCCGUGCCAGCAGCCGCGGUAAUACGGAGGGUGCGAGCGUUAAUCGGAAUUACUGGGCGUAAAGCGCGCGUAGGCGGUCUGAUAAGCCGGUUGUGAAAGCCCCGGGCUCAACCUGGGAACGGCAUCCGGAACUGUCAGGCUAGAGUGCAGGAGAGGAAGGUAGAAUUCCCGGUGGAGCGGUGAAAUGCGUAGAGAUCGGGAGGAAUACCAGUGGCGAAGGCGGCCUUCUGGACUGACACUGACGCUGAGGUGCGAAAGCGUGGGUAGCAAACAGGAUUAGAUACCCCAGUAGUC
RNAcentral lists this ribosomal RNA (465 nucleotides) under Vreelandella stevensii. Its description in RNAcentral is "partial 16S ribosomal RNA". It matches the Rfam family "Bacterial small subunit ribosomal RNA", at positions 338 to 795 of the family's 1533-position model. Lineage: Bacteria; Pseudomonadati; Pseudomonadota; Gammaproteobacteria; Oceanospirillales; Halomonadaceae. The record is from RNAcentral.